AUAGCCUUAACGGGGAAGCCGUUAGUCUUGUAUGGCGAGCGGACUGUUGGGAGCUUGCUCCCUGAUGUCAGCGGCGGACGGGUGAGUAACACGUGGGCAACCUGCCUGUAAGACUGGGAUAACUCCGGGAAACCGGGGCUAAUACCGGAUAAUUCUUUCCCUCACAUGAGGGAAAGCUGAAAGAUGGUUUCGGCUAUCACUUACAGAUGGGCCCGCGGCGCAUUAGCUAGUUGGUGAGGUAACGGCUCACCAAGGCAACGAUGCGUAGCCGACCUGAGAGGGUGAUCGGCCACACUGGGACUGAGACACGGCCCAGACUCCUACGGGAGGCAGCAGUAGGGAAUCUUCCGCAAUGGACGAAAGUCUGACGGAGCAACGCCGCGUGAGUGAUGAAGGUUUUCGGAUCGUAAAACUCUGUUGUUAGGGAAGAACAAGUACCGGAGUAACUGCCGGUACCUUGACGGUACCUAACCAGAAAGCCACGGCUAACUACGUGCCAGCAGCCGCGGUAAUACGUAGGUGGCAAGCGUUGUCCGGAAUUAUUGGGCGUAAAGCGCGCGCAGGCGGUUCCUUAAGUCUGAUGUGAAAGCCCCGGCUCAACCGGGGAGGGUCAUUGGAAACUGGGGAACUUGGGUGCAAAAAAAAGAGUGAAUUCCCGUGUAGCGGUGAAUGCGUAAAGAUGGGAAGAACCCGGGGCGAGGGACUCUUGGUCUGUACUGACCUGGGCCGAAGCGUGGGAGCA
RNAcentral lists this ribosomal RNA (742 nucleotides) under Bacillus sp. HPC1403. RNAcentral's name for it is "bacterial SSU rRNA". It matches the Rfam family "Bacterial small subunit ribosomal RNA", at positions 30 to 761 of the family's 1533-position model. The record is from RNAcentral. Lineage: Bacteria; Bacillati; Bacillota; Bacilli; Caryophanales; Bacillaceae.